Molecule: long non-coding RNA, 648 nt
Organism: Chiroxiphia lanceolata (lance-tailed manakin)
Lineage: Eukaryota; Metazoa; Chordata; Aves; Passeriformes; Pipridae
Exons: 5
Source: RefSeq, a predicted model, not a curated record
AGUUUAGCAGAGGUGAGCUCAGGUACAAACUUACCAGUAUCUACCCCACAUCUGGGACACAGUGAGAAGUGACACCUGUGGAAGAGGCAGAAGAAAUGAAUGUGCCAACUCCUCCCUCAGCCACUGGAGUUCACAGUCUGGCUCUUCUAAUACUGAAUGAAAUUUGGUUUUGAAGUGCAAACGUAAUUGCCCUCUGUGGUUUAUCUUAUCAGGAGUCAGACUAAAACGGAUUUGUGCUGACACCCAUGUUGAUGAUGUAUGAUGACUUCAAAGCAUGGUGAGGCAGAAGCUGAGGUGUAAAGCCCCGGAAUACCUAUAUGAAAGGAUUAUGUGACCCACCACAGCCAAAAUUCUAGGCUCUAAUUUAUCUGACUGUGAAUUUUCCUGAAAUUGUGCAUGAAGUUGAAUUUAGACUCUCACGGUGGAAUCUGACAUAGUAAGAAUUCAGCAACAUAUGACACUUUCAGCCAGCCAGAUGCAGCACAUCCUGUGGUUGCACAACCAUCUGCAUGAGAAGGAGGUAUGAAUUAGGAAGAUUUCUUAAACCACCUCCGAAGAAGUGACACUGACUGAGAAGUGGGAUGAGCUACCCCGAAAAAUGGCUAUAUUGUUACCAGGAAUCACCACAGACAGCUAAUCUACUUUGUU